RNAcentral lists this non-coding RNA (31 nucleotides) under Mus musculus (house mouse). Lineage: Eukaryota; Metazoa; Chordata; Mammalia; Rodentia; Muridae. The record is from RNAcentral.
UAAUACAGAUGCCAUUACCAAAUGUUCUCCU